This 301-nucleotide ribosomal RNA is filed under the name uncultured bacterium. RNAcentral describes it as "partial 16S ribosomal RNA". It matches the Rfam family "Bacterial small subunit ribosomal RNA", at positions 509 to 809 of the family's 1533-position model. The record is from RNAcentral.
CAGCAGCCGCGGGAAUACGUAGGGUGCGAGCGUUAAUCGGAAUUACUGGGCGUAAAGCGUGCGCAGGCGGUUAUAUAAGACAGAUGUGAAAUCCCCGGGCUCAACCUGGGACCUGCAUUUGUGACUGUAUAGCUAGAGUACGGUAGAGGGGGAUGGAAUUCCGCGUGUAGCAGUGAAAUGCGUAGAUAUGCGGAGGAGCACCGAUGGCGAAGGCAAUCCCCUGGACCUGUACUGACGCUCAUGCACGAAAGCGUGGGGAGCAAACAGGAUUAGAUACCCGCGUAGUCCCUGUCUCUUAUAA